CCAGCACCCGCGGUAAUUCCAGCUCCAAUAGCGUAUAUUAAAGUUGUUGCAGUUAAAAAGCUCGUAGUUGGAUUUCUGGCAUGAUGCGCGUGGCCCGCUCCGAUUACGGAUGUGUGUGCUAGUGCGCGUCUGCCAUCCAUUUACAGAAUGUAUCUACCCUUCAUUGGGCCGGAUAUGUGAUGUAAAUCUUUUACUUUGAACAAAUUAGAGUGUUUAAAGCAGGCAUUUGCUAUGAAUACAUUAGCAUGGAAUAAUAAUCUAGAACUUCGGUUCUAUUUUGUUGUUUUCUAGAUCUGGAGUAAUGAUUGAUAGGGAUAGUUGGGGGUGCUAGUAUUUAGGGGCCAGAGGUGAAAUUCUUGGAUUCUCUAAAGACUAACUUAUGCGAAAGCAUUCACCAAGGAUGUCUUCG
RNAcentral lists this ribosomal RNA (409 nucleotides) under uncultured eukaryote. Its description in RNAcentral is "SSU rRNA". It matches the Rfam family "Eukaryotic small subunit ribosomal RNA", at positions 567 to 972 of the family's 1831-position model. The record is from RNAcentral.